Molecule: ribosomal RNA, 576 nt
Filed under: uncultured bacterium
Lineage: Bacteria
Description: bacterial SSU rRNA
Rfam family: Bacterial small subunit ribosomal RNA
Source: RNAcentral
GGUGUGUGGGAGGAUGGUCCCCCACACUGGUACUGAGACACGGACCAGACUCCUACGGGAGGCAGCAGUGAGGAAUAUUGGUCAAUGGGCGGAAGCCUGAACCAGCCAUGCCGCGUGCAGGACGACGGCCCUACGGGUUGUAAACUGCUUUUCCGGGGGAAGAAUAACCUCCCUGCGGGGGGGGAUGCCGGUACCCCGGGAAUAAGGAUCGGCUAACUCCGUGCCAGCAGCCGCGGUAAUACGGAGGAUCCUAGCGUUAUCCGGAUUUACUGGGUUUAAAGGGUGCGUAGGCGGGCGUUUAAGUCCGCGGUGAAAGUCUGCGGCUCAACCGUAGGAUUGCCGUGGAUACUGGACGUCUUGGAUUCGGUCGGGGCGGGCGGAAUGCGUGGUGUAGCGGUGAAAUGCAUAGAUAUCACGCAGAACGCCGAUAGCGAAGGCAGCUCGCCGGGCCGACAUCGACGCUGAGGCACGAAAGCGUGGGGAUCAAACAGGAUUAGAUACCCUGGUAGUCCACGCCGUAAACGAUGAUGGCUGGGUGUUGGCGAUACAUAGUCAGCGCCUGAGGGAAACCAUUAA